This is a non-coding RNA of Oryza sativa Japonica Group (Japanese rice), 2084 nucleotides long. Lineage: Eukaryota; Viridiplantae; Streptophyta; Magnoliopsida; Poales; Poaceae. The record is from RefSeq and is a predicted model, not a curated record.
AAAAGAGAAAGUAAGGGGGUUUUAUGCAAAAGAAACCACUCCUAUCCCCUCCCUUCCCAGAAACCCUAGCCGCCACUGUUCCCCACCGUUCUCUCGCUUUCUCCCCUCCCUUGCGCGACGGCGCCGCAUCGUCUUCCCUCCCCCUACUUCUCCUCGCCGCCGACGGCUUCCCCUCGCGCUCUCCCCGUCGUCCCCCAUCUCCUGCCCACCCCUAUCCCCUUCACCCUCUUCCGAGUCAAGCAGAGGAGAGAGAACCCACGCCUCCUAGACUCACGAACCAGUCGCCGCCUCCGUUCUUAUUGUUUUCUCUUUUUCCCCUAUUUCUCUCUACCUGGGGAGGUGACUCUACCAUUGCGCCGCCGUAGUUGGUGGUGGUAGCCUAGCUGGGGUGGCGAUGGAGGCGGGAGACGGUUCAUGGACUUGCGGCGGCGACGCCUACGACCGUCGAGCUCGGGUACCCAUGGACCGCCGGCGCUUCCAUUGGAAGGGCAUGAGCCAUCAGUGCUAAGCUCCAAUGCUGAUUAGGAAGAAUCCCAUGUAAGCCAUCAGUUCUUGAGCCCAAGCUGCUAGAUCUCCUUUUCCCCUGUAUUCCUACACUGUCACGCAUGUUCUGCUUGCAAUGCGAGGAGGCUUGGGAUGACCGCCACAGCGGCUGCGAAGGAGCCACUUCCCGAGCAGUCGUGCCAUGAUCGAUAAGAGUGAUCGAUGGAUGCGAGCAUAUGGUGUCCAUUGUGCAGUCGUGCAGAGAACAGGAGAUAUUGGAUUUUGGGUUGACGAAUUCACUUCGUUGUCCAAGCAACACUAUUUGAUCUCUUCAGGUUUUCUGUCCUCAAUCAUUCUACCAUUUAUUCCUUGCUAUUUUGUUUGGUUAUCUAGCUAGCAAUUAAAAUUUGUGCCCUUCUAUAAUUUUGUCAAAUGAUGGAAACUCCUAUUCUAAUUUUCUAGCACUGUUGGAUCUGGGUUUGGCAAAGUUCCAUUUUCCACUGUUUGUUGGUGAUUACUCCAAUACUAUCUAAUCAUGUUCUUAUUUAGUGAAAAAAUGAUGCUGCCAUCACACCACCUGCAAACUAAAUCAGGGUAGCGAUUCAGUCUAUAUAAAUAUAGGUGUAUGUUUCCCAGAUUCAAAUCUUUGUGACCUAGAUAAUGGUGAAGUAUGCUUAUCCAAUUGAAUCAACCUAAAAUGAGAUUAUGUUUUAUGUGUGAUGGUUGAAAGAAACUUACUCCUUUCUCCAUCUAACUUAUUGAUAUGAAGUGCAAUCCUAACAAACACGUCUACAGUAACCUAGCAGAAAUUAUAUGUGAUUUUCAUAUGAACUAUUCUAGCAAGAAGGAGAGCAUGUAGUUGGUUGAUAUGAAGUAAUGCUUUAGUGUUGUGCGUUGACAAGUGAGGUUAAUCAAUCUUUGGAAAUGUGAGAAUUGCCAGUUAGCUUUAAGCUUUCUUUGAAUUCCUUGACAAAUGCAUGUUUUUAAAUAUAGUGCGGGUAUCGCUACAUAGUUGCCAACACAAUAACAAAUCAACUGACAUAAGAAUUUGGUGCACGAAUUAGAUUAUCUCAUCCUUUUAUUUUGUUUAUUGUCAGGCUUUCCCUAUAAAUUAAUUGACAGGAGGAAGAAAUCACAGGUGGUUUACCAAUUUCAAUGACAUUUUAUAGUUCAUUAAAGAAUUGAACUUCUAUAUGGUAGCCGGGCAAAUGGCAGGGAUGUUUCUUUCUCUACACCUGUAUCUUGGCUGAUCAUUUAGUUUACUAGGAUCAUUUAGUUUCUUUCUGUAUAUAUAUGCUGUUAAGUGCUCUAUGAAGCAUAAUAAGUUCUCAUGGCUUCUGGAUUUACACUUAGCUGAUUUUAUCUCGCAGAAUUCAACAAUUUUUUUUUAUCGUCGCAUAGAUGUAAGAUUUCAGGUUCUGUGAUGGUCACAAACUUCAGAAUUCAAGUUGUAUUAGCCUAUGUUGGAACGAAGACCUUCAGAAGAACUAUAUGUAAUAUAAACGGUGUAAAUGAUGUAAAUGUUGUGACACUUAGUCUUUCCAACUAUAUUCUUUCAAUGCUUACCGAAUAUGUGAACAAUUGAUUAAUGUUUCUCUGCC